AAAGCGUAAAAGGGGGAAGGAAGCAAGCAAGUGAAGUGUGUCGUUGUCGUCGUCAAAGCUAGAUUUUGAUUUCAGGGCGCUGCGUUGUCCACGUUUGUAUUGCAUGUUCUGUUUAAGGGUUAUCUGUGCUUUAACGAUCCCUAAGCGCUCUCUGCUGAUCAGUGGUGCGAACAGGGGGUUUACUUCCCCCUAAAUGGAAGCGGUGGCUUUUUAACGACACUGCUUCAAUUUAGGGCAAAGUAAACCCUAAAUUUACUUUCCCCCAAAGGUAAGCGUGUUUUCUCUUGUAGGUUGGCGGAUCUCCUCCGGUGGGCUUUAAACUAGGCUCGUUGGGGAAAGGGGAAGACGUGGGCGGAGGAAGCCUCAGACAAGCAAGCCAAGCAUCGCCUGUAGGAGCAACCCAGCCUAAACGGAUGACCAGAGAAGCAGGUAAUCAGGACCUCCAUCUAACCCAGGAGGUACACAGCCCCGCCAGGGGAGACGCCUUGUUGGAUUUGGUCCUGGCCACGGGCGACGACCUGGUACGGGGUCUGUGGGUGCUCAACCACCUGGGCCAUAGCAAUCAUCGUCUGCUGGAAUUCACCAUCCAGCGCAAGGUAGCGAAAGCCUCCAGCAAGGCAGCAGCCCUCGACUUCAGGAGGGCGGACUUUAAUGAGGUCCUGACAAUCUCCACCCCAGAGUGCUGAAGGAACUACCAAGGGUCAUUGCAGGACCUCUGGCGCAGCUCUACGAGCACUCGUGGUGCUCAGGCGAUGUGCCGGAGGACUGGAAAAGGGCCAGUGUGGUCCCCAUCUUCAAAAAAGGAAGGAAGGAGGACCCAGAAAACUACAGGCCUGUGAGUCUUACCUCAGUCCUGGGGAAGCUUUUCGAAAGAAUUAUCCUGGCACAUGUCCAGGAAGGGCCAGCAGGGGAGGUUAUGCUCAGGGGCAACCAGCAUGGGUUCAUUAGGGGCAGGUCUUGUCAAACCAACCUGGUGGCCUUCUAUGACCAGGUCACCAAGGCCUUGGAUGCAGGUGUCGCAGUGGAUAUAGUCUUUCUGGACUUCAGGAAGGCCUUCGACACGGUCUCUCACCCCAUUCUCAGUAAGAAACUAGGAGACAGUGGUGUUGAUGCCUACACAGUCAGAUGGGUCACUAACUGGCUGGAGGGCCGCAGCCAGAGAGUGGUGGUGGACGGGUCUUAUUCGACCUGGAGGGAUGUGGGCAGUGGGGUUCCCCAGGGCUCGGUUCUCGGACCCACACUGUUCAACAUCUUCAUCAGUGACUUGGACGAGGGGGUAGAAAGCACCCUGUUCAAGUUUGCAGAUGACACUAAGAUGUGGGGGGAAGUGGGUAUGCUAGUAGGAAGGAACGUGGGGAAUGUAGGGGAAGCGUGGCAAGCGGAUCUCGACAGGUUACAGGGGUGGGCCGAAGAGAACAGGAUGGAGUUCAACACUGACAAGUGCAGGGUAAUGCACCUGGGGAGGAGGAACCAGCAGCAUACCUGCAGGCUGGGGAACUCCCUUCUCACCAGUGUCGAGACAGAAAAGGAUCUUGGAGUCAUCAUUGAUGCCACAAUGAACAUGGGCCGACAAAGUGGGGACACGGUCAGGAAGGCCGACCGUACCUUGUGCAUCCACAGAUGCAUCUCGAGCAGGUCCAAGGAGGCGAUCCUCCCCCUCUAUGCAGCACUUGUCUGGCUGCAGUUGGAGUACUGCGUCCAGGUCUGGGCGCCGCACUUCAGAAGGGAUGUGGACAACAUGGAGAGGGUCCAAAGGAGGGCCACCCGUAUGAUCAGGGGGCAGCAGGGCAGACCAUACGAGGAGAGGCCGAGGGACCUGAACCUGUUCAGCCUCCAAAAGAGAAGGCUGAAGGGGGAUCUAGUGGCAGUCUACAAACUAGUCAGGGGGGACCGGCAGGCACUGGGGGAGUCUCUGUUCCCCUGAGCACUGCCAGGAGUGACAGGAAACAACAGACAGAAGCUAGUGGAGGGUAGUUUCAGGCUAGACAUUAGGAAGCGCUAUGUCACUGUCAGGGCAGCUAGGACCUGGAACCAACUUCCAAAAGAAGAGGUGCUGGCUCCUACCCUGGGGAUCUUUAAAACGAGGCUGGACGAACAUCUGGCCGGGGUCAUUUGACCCCAGUACUCUUUCCUGCCACAGCAAGGGGGUCGGACUAGAUGAUCUCCUCAGGUCCCUUCCGACCCUACAUACUAUGAAACUAUGAAACCCCCGUGUCGUGUACGCUCGUGUCUUACCUGCCUCUCCAGCAGUGGGGAGGGCAGGGGAGGGUGAGCUACUGGUGGGCAAGCUGGUCUCUGGGCUGUGGAGGGGACACAUGCACCCCUCCUGCUGCUUUGCUCUGCAGCAGCAGUGUCCCGCCAGGUGGCACCCGCCUGCAGGCACCCAGCUGGGGCGGUCCCAGGGGGCACCGCAGCCACAGAGGGAAGGACCAGGUCCCUGCGCAGCUCUUGCAGGCAGGCAGGCAGGCUCUGGGGGGGGGAGGAGAAAAAAAGAGCAGGCUCGCUGCUUUUUAUUUUUCUUUGGUGGUGCCUGCCUUCCCGGGCUGCUGCCAAGCUGCCUGCACAGCCCCUGAGCCGCACGGAGCCUGGCGCUUGGCUCCGCGGCUGUAGGGCAGCCAACUAAAAAUCCUCGGAGGCGUUUGAGUUUGCUGCACCCCAAUGUCACGGAAGGCGUGUGACGCUGCUGCAUGUGCUACGGCGGCUGGAAUUCAUGCGCGAUAUGCUGCCGCCACGUGCAAAUGCCCACAGCAUCAAAGCAGCGCAAAAGCAUUUAACCCGCUUUAAAGUGUCGUCCGCAUGUGCCCCUCAUUUCGUCUGCACGCGCCCCUAGGCUGUAUGGUGAAGGGGCUGCUAUGGGUAGGGGGUGAGCCCGGCUGGGUGGGGAGAGCGAGGCAGACGGUGAGCUCACAGAGGUGCAUCAGUAGGAUCCCGGGCAUUGGGCCAGAGUCAGUGACCUCAUAGAGGGCUGACAUCAGCCUGCUGGGCCUGGUCCAGAGCCCCAGGCCAGCGGCUCAGACCUGAACACACCUUCAUGGUAGCAGGUCUCUCUGGCUGAGGCUUAUACAGGUGAGGGGGAAUCUGAUUCCUAUUCUUGGUCCCAGAGCCACCCGUCUUAUCUGUUCACCUCUGCCACCCCCAGAAGUGCUCAGGUUUGGGCCAUGUGGUGCCCUGGGCCCCUCUCCCUGCCCAGUCCCCAGCCCUUCCACGUGGUUAAGGAGUUGAGGGCUGUGGCCCUUCUCCGUCGCGGGCUGUAAUUCAGAGGGCCUUUGCACGCAACAACACGGUCUAACGGCCAGUUGUGAGCUCGGCCAAAUCUCAGCCAGGUCAGGCCCCCGGGAACGUUUGGGCUCGGGACAAAAUACACAGUAGUACCCUUUUGAUGGGCGGGCAGCUUGGAUCCCCCCCCAUAUGCCCCUGCAGCUCUGUCGGGCUCUCCAGCUGUCUGUCACUGAAAGCCAAGGGACUGCGCCAAGUCUCAGCCGGUGGGGAUCGAGCACAGAUCGUGGCACACCCAACCAGCACUCCCCCCACCGCUCUGCUGACUUCCACGGGGGCCUUUCCUCCCUCCUUUAGUUCUCCCUUCCCUUCUGCUCUUGCCAUUUCCCUUGUCCUACGCCUGUUUGUGCCGAGCAGCUGAGCUGUGCCCAAAGGGAUCUGUGGGGGAGGCAGCAAAGGACUGGGAUUCUCCUCCAGUUCCUACCAGGGAGGGCUCUGGUGCGUGGCGGAGACUCUGGGUCAGGAAGGAGAAGCGGGGGCCGGAGGAGGAGGGCUUUGAGGGAGUCAGGCAUGGGGCUAGGCCCUCUGUGUCUCUGUGCCCGACAAAGGCGAUGCAAUUGCGAAGUGAAGGUGGGGGGACUUCUGGGGGUGUCUUUUAUUGGACCGGGUGUCAAAUUUGGGAGCAACGUUAGACAAGGGCACAGAAGAAGGGGAUCUGGUGCCCAGAAACUUCUCUAAUAAAGCAAAAAGACGGUGACUGGGUGAAAAAAAGAUGGUGACUGGGUGAAAGAUGUGGCAGACAAUGAUAUAAAUGGCAGCGGGGAAUUCUUAACCAACUAUAUGGUUGGUCCAAGAAAAGACGUCCCUCAAAUCACCUAGAGCUUUGCAUGUCGCCCAGGCGGCCAUACUUUGACGCUGCUGGGAGGAAGGAUAUGGCUUGUCUUCCAAUGAGACCGACAUAGCCCAUCAUGGGGCCGGGCAUUUGAGGCCGGAGGUUGCUUAGCGCAGGGUGAUUGUGAGCCAAUGCCAUUCCGUGGCGCCGGAGAGAGGCGAGAUUCGACCCGUACUUCUCUGGCCAUGGCAUUUCAUCACGCGAUCGGUGUUUCUAAUCAUCUCAUCCCCUCAGGGCCUCCGAGUCCAGCUCCAGCUCCCUGCUGCAGCGGGCGGGGCUCGUCCGAAUCGUCGAAGCUCUCCGAAUCUUUUCCGGAUCAAUUCGGAGAGCUUCGACUCGCUUCGGACCUUUGGAUUGGUCCCCACGAUUCGAUUCGAAGUCGGAGAUUUGGCCGCCAAAUCGGGCCGAGUCUCCACCUCUCUGUCCACGAGUCUAGGGAGGGAGGGGAAGAGAGGAGUGGGGCACGCAUGCUUUCUGAGUCAGGCUCACGGAAAUGUGCUGCCAGCAGAAGAGUGGAGAGACUCCUGGAUCGUCAGGUCUAUCCCAGGCCCUGGACAGGGUCACCACUCGAGUGACCCCAGGGCCCGGUGCCGACUUUCUCUCCCCAGCGAGGCUGAUGUCUGCUUUUGGGCCCCCUCCAAAGGGGCCUUGUCCCGCUUCCAUUUUUCCGGGUUUGUGCCCCUCAUCCAAGCGCUCGGUUGGAUAUCUAACCUCCUGCUGCAAGGCCUUGCUAUAAAAGGUGUGGAGAAGAUGACUUUGAACGUCUCCUAGAAAAGAAAGAUGUGGAGCGUGGUCCCCUUCCCAGCUCGUAGGGGGCAGGUGCGUGCUUCCCCUCUCAUUGUGCCCUCAAAACAACAGGACGUGGCCUGCAUUGAUUCAUCAGCGGUGCGCGCUGCUGAAACAGCAUGCGAACCUCCGAACUAUAGCUCACCAGUGGUAUUGGCAACUUCUUGGGAUCGGUUCAAAAGUGCUACAAUCGCUGUAGCAAAAAGAAACCCAGGAGAUCUGGCCAGGGUUUCCGUGGAGGACGACAAAAAGCUUGGAGGAAAAACAUCCAAUGGAUGGCCCAAGAAAACAGCUGUGCAAAAAGAAACACCUGUUUCCUAAAGCAACGGAGCUGCAGAACAACCUGACCGAAGAAAUGCCUCACGAAAUGACAGAUCUUGUGACGUGGUCUGUGCCCGAGGUCCCAGACACGGGCCGUCUGGCGAUAAGACAAUACGCCGAGAGCGAGAUGGCAAAGCGAGAUGGCAGAAACGAGGAGGGCAGUGACGCCGAGUUGAGAACGGCCGGCGUAUUGCCAGGGCAUGGGAAGCGACGGAGUAGCGGUCAGCCAAGCCCGCUGCGUUCCCAACGGUCCCCCGGCCUGUCUCCAGCAAGAAGCCGGCCGCUGCCUCCAGGCGGAGAGCUCAGGGCAGCCAACAUUGCAGAGGCCGAACCAGCGGGGGCCCCUCCUCAUCCGGCUGGCAAUAUUUCUGGUUUGCGCGGGGAGGGCACGCGUGUGGGAGCACUGCGUGAGCACCCCAGGCAGGAGUUUCCUCGUAGACAGACGUACAUUCCGUACAAAUCUGCCGGAAAAGGUGGCGCGGGUCCACACCGUCUUGCUAGAGAAGACGUUUCUCCUUGCUUGGAGCAGGAUCGCCCAACUGGGGGCACGCAGAGAAACUUCUUUUCGCAGAUCGGUGUCUGGGGAAGAACGCUUCGUGCCGAGGAACACGUGCAAAGGGACGGGCAACUGCCCGGGCCGCUGCAAGUCCCAGGGCUUGUGCAGCCCCCAUCAGGGGGCAUUGGGAAGCCGAGUCCCUGCAGAGGAGCUCCGGAGCUCGAGCCUUCCGCAUCCCGCCCGGACACGCUAAGUGAGCCAAGGGCGGUCUGCUCUGGAGGAGCCGUCCCCUGGAUGGGCAGGCAGCUCGCGAGGAAGCUCUGCUUUUCGUCACGCCAAAAGGUAUUUCCCAACGAGGAAGCACCAGGCAGCGAGCCCCUGCCCACAUAUGCGCUGGCGCCUCGGCCCUCGCAGUCCUUGACCAGGAUUUACGCUGAGGCUUUUUCGGAAGCAUCGGGUGCCCGGCUGACGAGUGAACCGGUCCCCGCGCGCAAGCUGCUUGCUCGGGGCAACGCAGUCCCUGGAAGCGAUCCGUCACGGAUCGGUGCAGAUGUGGUCAAGUCGGUGCUAACUCAGCUGUCCGCGUGUCUGGCCACAGAUCCGCAGCCUUCUGAAGAUCAGGGUCUCCCCCCUGACGUAGCCGUGCUGGCGGCCCAGAUAAUUCACUCCAGUUUAUCCGAACUUCUGCACGACGGGGCUUCCAAAGUCACGGUUUACCCGGACCCGAGCGGCAAAGAGAGCGCGCCGGCAGAGGGCUCGGAUGUUUGGCUCUGGGGUGAAAUGGCCAACGACAGGCGGGAAGGCGCUGUGGCCAAAGCGCCCUCGUCGGCUCUGUCGACGCCCCGAGAGCCUGGGGAGUUUGGGGAGAGGCAGUUGGAAGACGCUAGCAAAAGCACUGCCCGACGCCAAAGCCCCCCACCGCCAACUCUGGAGGUAGGCCCUGGAUGUUUGGAAGACGCUAUCGGCAGGCUUUUAUCUCGCGCUCUGCCGGCCACCGCCAGCACGUCUGCCUCCACAGAAAAGAAAGCCGCGCCUGCAGACGUUGACUUGACUCACGUGAAGGUAAUCGGUCGAGUGCUGGCCAGGAUCUGUAGAGGGGAGACCUCGUCCUGCCAGUGUGUUGUGCCUCCGCCCGGCAGGGAGGAGAGUGCGAGUCAAACGAUUGCCGAUGCGGUCUACGGCAGGCUUUUGAUGCGGUUCCUGUCUAAACUGGACAUGCGGCAGCGUGUAAGAAGCGGGAGCACGGUCCUCGGUGAAGCUCUUUGGGACUCGGUUGUCCGAGAGAUUUCUGGGAAGCCGCUGCAGAACUCUCUUGGUGGAGAACUAGUGCGCCGCCUUGUCGAGACCGCGCCAAGAGCCGUCAUCGAGCCUUUGGGUGAUUCCAGCCGUUGCUCGCCGGAUCUUCAUGCAACGGUUGCUCUCAUCGCAGAAAAACUAGCAGCGAGCCUGUUGUCAGCUUUUCCCUGCCUCGUUCCCGUUGCGGCUUUGGACGCAGAGAAGGCUCUGUUAGCGAACGAGGAAGCCAGAAAAAUACGGCAUGCUUUGCGAGCACUCCUGUCGAGCCAUCGGAGGAAUGGGGACGAACAGAUCGGCGGACGGGCGUUUGUACGUGCCGAAGAUGGCCAAGCUACAGGAGAUCUGUCGCCUUCCGCUCGCGCGAGCCCUGCGGACCGUGCCGAUUCAGACCUUUGCAGUUGCAGAGGCCUAACAGGUCGGGAAGCAGUUUUCGCUCCUGGGAUCACAGCUUCAGGAGCCCAGCACGUUGCCAGCCCUGGAGCAUGAGCCGGUUCAGAGGAGGAGACAUUGCCCGCCCCGUCUUGCACGGCGGAAGGCGUUGGGAUUGCGGAAAACCUCCCUGCAGAUCUUGACACGACGGAGGAGAUUCCAAAACCGACUUUUGGCCCGGGUGGUCUGGCGGCCCCCGGGACAUUUGCGGCAGGAAUUUUAAGUAGCUUCCUGCCAAAAGCGUCACGUUGGACGAAGGGCAGAAGCCCGAAGCUCGACGGAGGUUUAGCACGAGCCGAAGCGACUGUGCUUGGCAAGGCGCUCAGACAGGCCGUAGAACGGGGCCCGUCCGUCUGUCGACUCGGCCGUGGGGCCACUGCCGGGGAGCCGCACGAUGGACAUCCCGAAGCCGUCGAUCGACCGGUUCUUUCCGUGUCCGGGAGUGUUUUACGAGAAGCGGGACCCGAAGGAGGUCUCUGCAACGACGUGAGCGGUGGCAGCGCCCUUUUCCCUCAACAAGCGGCGACCGCGAUCGUUGAGGAACUGUCCGACAGCCCCUGUCUGCAGGCCGUCAGUGACUGUCCGCCGGCACCAAGCCGACAUCCGAUGAGCAUGGGCAGACUCGCCAGCGAGGGUCUUUCCCGAGCAUCUGUUGGCGCAGAGCCUUGGACGGGCAGUUCUGCAGAGGGGAUCCCUGCCAAGACGGGGGAGCUGCCGGUGAAAAGGAUCCCUCGUGUGACCAUCAGGCACGUGCCCGUUGCUUCAGAGUCGGAGACUGAUUAUUUAUGGGUCAUUUACGUCAGAGCAGAACCUCUCGAGGAGCUGCAAGAAGCUGUCGUCGCUCCGACCGGGGACGACCCAAGAACGCCGAGAGCAUUGCUGGCCGCAACGUGUCCCAACGACGGCAGCACGAGAUCCGAGGCCCGGGAAAAAGCAGACCGUUAUUUCUCUGCGGUUAGCUUGGGACAGCCCACGGGGGUUGGACUCGAUGAUCUGUCAAGGUCCCUUCCGACCCUACCAACUAUGAAACUGUGAAACCCUGCUCGGGGUGGCGGGUGACCGGUGACCUUGCAUCAGCUUGGGAAGGCAGCGUAAGCGGGAGCAGGCAUGACAUACCUGCUGGGGCACGAGCAGCCUGACCGGGCCCGCUGGCAUAAAAGCUCGCAGGACGCCGCUUUGCAGCAACGCGAAAACAACCGCUCGAGACAGCCGUCAUGCAAGUGGGAAGGAGUCCCAGGUGAGCUGACCGUGGAUGUCUUUUUGUCGCCAGGGAUUUCUGCUGAGCUGUGCCGGGCCUGGGACGCAGAACUCUUCCUACAUGUCUGCGGCAAAUAUCUUGUCAAACCUGGGGCAACACCACCCCCGGAAGGUGGCCCACCAAAGGUCUCUCGGCCUCCCCAGCCGAGUCCUUGCCUUUGGCGGGCUCUUCCCUCUUUCCUUCUGUUGUCGUAUCUGCCCCGUAAUCUCUGCGCAGAGUUGGCCUCUAGCCACGUGACGCAGUCUCAUCCCCAGCCCGGUCACUCGACCCUUUAAGAUCGCUGGCUCCGGUCGGCCGCCGCUGAAGUCGGGGCGUGUAGGGAGUCGGGGCCGAGCGUAGGCCUUAAAAGCUAGCUGUCGCCUGUGACGCAUGCAGCCUUUGGAGGCCCGCAUCUUGCCAACCUGAGCAUGCACGUAACGUCGUGGACUUUGCCUACGGUGACACGUUACCCCAGGCUGCCUCGUUGAAGAACGGUACUGGCAUGCUGGGCUUCCUCGGGAGGUAGAUUGCCGAGACGAAAGCAUCGUUGUUACCGUCUGCGGCAUUAGUGAGCCCCUUCCCGGAUGCUGUAUCCAGUUCUCAGGGAAGGCUGAUCAAGUGGAAAAGGUUCCUAAAAGAAAUAUGAGAUUGGACUUGGGUAUAGGAGCCCUUCCUCGGCAGGAGAGACUAUGGCGGCUCCACCUGUUCACCUUCAGAAGAGAGAAGGUUUAGCAGCCAUUUGAUCGUGGGCUAACAGCAACCCUGUGGAGGGCAAGUUUCCAGUGGGUCCAGGCGCUCGAAUCUGCCUGCCAGGGGCAGAAGCGACCACAGCGGCCGGAGGAUGUGCCUGGCCGGAUUCGUUCUCGGAAUUGGGUGCCCACUAUUUUCCAGUUACACGAUGGGUUCUUUGCUAGAGGAACGACUCGCCCAGGGGUCUGAUGAAUUGUCCCUCGCCCAAAGUCCUGAAGCGAAGUCUGGGUCUUGGUAAGAGAUGGGCAGGAGCAUUGCCCGACGUGAGUCCGGUGGGAAGCAGACUAGGUGCACGCUCACGGGGAUCUUGUCCAUUUGCGGCCCGGCUGCCUCCUUUCUCCUUUCUGUCCUUUGGAUCGCCUUUCUCUGUACUUUCUCUAGCUCUCGCGUUGUCUUUCAUGGGUCAGGCGCCACGUCCACGCAUUGCGGAUGUCGAGCCAUCCUUCCUGACCCAGGCUUGGCAAGCCCUGCCACCCCGGAUGCGCAUGGAGAGGCGCAGACAGGAGCUAGCAGUACUCUUUUGUUUGAGCCGCUGUCUGAAGGAUCCAGAAAGAAAGAUCUGCACGGACCAGAGGACAUGGGGGUCAACACAGCAGCUGGCGCCAGCGUGCCGCAAAAACAGUCGUCUUUGUUGAAGAAGAUCCCGAACAUGCUAUCCAGAGCGCACUCUCUCCUGUCCGCUUGCUUGUCGUGCCGCCGGAGGUCUCGGCAAGUCGCCCCGGAGUGUACCCCUACGUGUUAAGGUGUUUGAGGAUAAAUAAGGGAAAAAAUAAAUAGUUAGGACAAGAUGCGGUCUGGUGGAAGCUGCCAGUGGUACUC
Molecule: RNA transcript, 10242 nt
Organism: Alligator mississippiensis (American alligator)
Lineage: Eukaryota; Metazoa; Chordata; Crocodylia; Alligatoridae
Gene name: disintegrin and metalloproteinase domain-containing protein 20
Exons: 8
Source: RefSeq, a predicted model, not a curated record